AACCAUUUUAUCAGCAAAAGCGAGGGGAGGGGGGCGUACAGUAAAUGCUGAGAGAUGUUCGAGAAGCCCCAAGACGUUCCUUGCGGAAGGAGAACGGAAGAAAGAAAAUUACGGGCGGAAAAAGAAUUCUUUGCUGAAGAAUGCAGCUGUAUUAAAGGAAGAAAGAAAACCAAGCUACAGCUCCUUAUAAUUCAACAAGCAUUUAAAAGAUUUAUAAAGAUGGUGCAAUUAUGUAUUUAAGCUGCUUCAACACAAGUUCUUGCCUUUCACUCCCACCCUGUGGCUUACACUGGUAUUACAUCUAUUCUGACAUUUAAAAAUCAACAUUAAAGAACAUAUUGUAAUAAUGUAUUCUAUGGUUUAAAUAUUUAAAAAAUUUUACAUCAUACCUAGAAAGUGUUGUGUACUUUCUAAAGCUUAUAAACUGAAAAGGAUUUGAAGAAUCCUAAUACAGAAUCAUAAGUUAUAAUUCAUCCAAAAUUGUAUAGUUCUUAAAUUUCAAAUCCAAACCAGUGGAUAUCUGUCUUUAGUGACAUUUAGAUUUUAUUCAAUUAAGGUCAUUGUAGCUAUUAUAAAUGGAAGAUUUUACUUCAUUGUGUCUUAUCACUGAAGUACUUCACUCUUGCUUUUCAAAAGAUUUCUUUCAAUUUCUUCAGAGUCUUAUUUGUUCUCUAAGACAAAGACUUGAUUUCAGUUUGUUUUUCUUAAAAUUAAUAUCUUCUCCAAUUUAUUUCCCAGUUUUUUCUAAAUAAAUACUUUAAAUAUAUAGAGUAUUAUUUUUAUAGUAUCUCAGAA
Molecule: long non-coding RNA, 795 nt
Filed under: Homo sapiens (human)
Lineage: Eukaryota; Metazoa; Chordata; Mammalia; Primates; Hominidae
Description: HSALNT0306835
Source: RNAcentral